CUCUUAAUGCUCAGUGGUUAGAGCGUUGGUCUGCAGACCAGAGUUGUGGGUUCAGUUCCCAGUUAAGGAC
This 70-nucleotide transfer RNA is filed under the name Myotis davidii. It matches the Rfam family "tRNA". From Rfam's summary of the family: Transfer RNA (tRNA) molecules are approximately 80 nucleotides in length. Their secondary structure includes four short double-helical elements and three loops (D, anti-codon, and T loops). The record is from Rfam by way of RNAcentral. Lineage: Eukaryota; Metazoa; Chordata; Mammalia; Chiroptera; Vespertilionidae.